Molecule: ribosomal RNA, 429 nt
Filed under: Verrucomicrobiota bacterium
Lineage: Bacteria; Pseudomonadati; Verrucomicrobiota
Description: Verrucomicrobia bacterium partial 16S ribosomal RNA
Rfam family: Bacterial small subunit ribosomal RNA
Source: RNAcentral
UAGGGAAUCUUCCGCAAUGGACGAAAGUCUGACGGAGCAACGCCGCGUGAGUGAAGAAGGAUUUCGGUUCGUAAAACUCUGUUGUUAGGGAAGAAAAAAUGUAUAGUAACUAUAUACAAAAGAGACGGUACCUAACCAGAAAGCCACGGCUAACUACGUGCCAGCAGCCGCGGUAAUACGUAGGUGGCAAGCGUUGUCCGGAAUUAUUGGGCGUAAAGCGCGCGCAGGUGGUUUAGAAAGUCUGAUGUGAAAGCCCACGGCUCAACCGUGGAGGGUCAUUGGAAACUAAUAAACUUGAGUGCAGGAGAGAAAAGUGGAAUUCCUAGUGUAGCGGUGAAAUGCGUAGAGAUUAGGGGGAACACCGGUGGCGAAAGCGGCUUUUUGGCCUGCAACUGACACUGAGGCGCGAAAGCGUGGGGGGCAAACAGG